GAGAGAUGGCUGCCGUUAAUUUUGGUGGAUAUUACCCAGGAUGCCAGAUUUAUCUCAUGGCAAUGGGCCAGGAUCUGGGAUUGUGUUAGUGUUAAGGUUGUUCCAAGGAAGAGACUUGUUUCACUCUCUGCUGCUGCAGCAGCAGUUCAAUGGAGUCUUCAGGGACUGUUCCUGAGCAAAAUCCUGAAAUAUAUCUGGAAUUUAUUGGGCCGAAGCCGGAACCUGAUUAUUUUCCAUGUUUUCUCCUGAUUCAUCAGUGGAACUUGCAUGUUUGCGUGUUUUUAAUCUUAAUGUCCUCAAGUUCUGUGCACCCUCCUUGUUCUUCUCAUGCGGAUUCUUGAUGUAAAGGAUAUUUUGAAUGAAAGAACAGAUACCGAACUUCGGUGUCUGAAGAAGGAACCUGAAUCCUGGAGACUUGCUUGACAAACAAUUGUUGAAAAUAAAGAAAACUCUGGCAAGGUUGUGGUUCAGAGGAUACCUCAGUGGAAGAAAUGAUUAGAGGCAAGGCAUGGUCAAUGAAUGAAGCCAGCAGAACAUUAUGACGUUUCAAAAAAACUCAGGACAACACAGAUGCAGCAUCAAACACCUGCUGAUAAUUUUUUUUGUCAGAAAUCUUAGCUCUACAUGUACAUGAUCGCAAGGAAUCGCGCAAAAGGAUCCCAUAUAGCUGAUCCCACUGGUUUUGGAUCCAGGCUUGGUGGUUGUAAAUCUUAGCUUUGCAAAGCUUAAUUUUCGAGAAAAUUGUAAUGUAUAUUGUCUACAUUUGUCAGAUUCUGCUUGUGCUGCGUUCAAUGCUUUUACCGUGCACAGAAUAUAAUUGGCUACUUCAGCA
Long non-coding RNA from Populus nigra (black poplar), 832 nucleotides. RefSeq lists it as uncharacterized. The record is from RefSeq and is a predicted model, not a curated record. The transcript is spliced from 4 exons. NCBI's taxonomy places the organism in Eukaryota, Viridiplantae, Streptophyta, Magnoliopsida, Malpighiales, Salicaceae.